UACGUAGGGGGCAAGCGUUGUCCGGAAUUAUUGGGCGUAAAGAGCGUGUAGGCGGUCCGGUAAGUCAGCUGUGAAAGUCAAGGGCUCAACUCUUGAAUGCCGGUUGAUACUGUCGGGCUAGAGUCCGGAAGAGGCGAGUGGAAUUCCCGGUGUAGCGGUGAAAUGCGCAGAUAUCGGGAGGAACACCAAUGGCGAAGGCAGCUCGCUGGGACGGUACUGACGCUGAGACGCGAAAGCGUGGGGAGCAAACAGG
RNAcentral lists this ribosomal RNA (253 nucleotides) under uncultured bacterium. Its description in RNAcentral is "partial 16S ribosomal RNA". It matches the Rfam family "Bacterial small subunit ribosomal RNA", at positions 524 to 776 of the family's 1533-position model. The record is from RNAcentral.